AUACAUUUAAGACGAAUUUCAUAAAAUACAGCAUAUACAAAUUAGCGCCCCGAGCCGAUUGUGACGAAGAUAAUUCGUAAUUAUUUUCCUACAACAACCGAUGCAUUCGUCUUUUUAGUAAGUGUUCGAGUGUCGUAUGAAUCGAUAUCGCUGCAGGAAUUUCAAAUGAACCGUUAAACUAAAUUUAGAUUCACAUCGUACAUGCAUGAUAUACAUGCUGGCGAAUACGGCUGUACAGCCUUUUUCGAUUUCAGAAUUAAAUAUCUGGCUUAUUUAGCAUUUUUCGACACAUGUUCUUCUUAACUUUUAUUUUAGUUUAUAUUGAAAUAUAUAUAUAAUGAGUUUUUUACACAUUUUUUAUAAAUUCAUAAAUAUUUGACAAAAUCGUAUAUACCCGCUUUAAGUGUGUUUAAAUCGGUGUGUAGAUAUACAGAAAUCCUAUUAAUAUUAAUACUUUAUCAAAAUACUGCGGAUAUUAAGAUAGAAUAUUGCACAAUUCACUGAUAAAGCAGCAGUGUAAUGAAUUCCCCCACCCAACCUUCCCCAGGACCCUACCCCCCACCGCAGCUUACCCCUUGGUUUUCAGAUUGUUAAAUGUACACCUAUUGUGUUUGGUUUGACUUUUCAACAACAAAUAAUGACAAAAAUACGCAGUUAAAAAAUCUCGUAUAGGUAUUAUAAACAGGCAUGACAACUUGAGUGUUCUCGAUGAAAAUGGUCUUGUCCAGUGUUCCUCAAUCUUUCGUCAAUAGGCACAUAGUGCGUUUUAUACCUUGUGUUUAUAUAUUACAUUAACACAGGUUAUUUUUUCAAACUGUGUAUUUUCGUCAAUAUUCCUUGUUGAAAAGUCAAACCAUCCCCAAUAUGUGUACAUUUAACAAUCUGGAACCCCUGGGAUAAAGGGGGGGGCAGGUUGGGUCUUGGGAAAGUCAAUAUACUUAAUUUAUUAGCAUGCAAAAUGACAAGAGUAAGAAAAAACACAUGCUUUAUUUGUAUUUUAGGUCACCAGCCUUCAAUAUGCUAUAUAUAUUCAUAUUAAAAAUGACAAGAGUUAGAAGAAACAUAUAUAUCGUUUCCUUUUUUUAUCCCCACGCUUUUUGAAAAAAAGGUGGGGAUAUUGUGGUGAUCUCCGCCGUCCGUCCGUCCGUCUGUCCGUCCGUCUGUCCGUCUGUCCGUCCGUCCUGGCCACUAUCUCCUCCUACACUAAAAGCACUAGAACCUUGAAAUUUACACACAUGGUAGCUAUGAGCAUAUGUGCGACCCUGCACUAUUUGGAAUUUUGAUCUGACCCCUGGGUCAAAAGUUAUAGGGGUUGGGGUGGGGCCGCGUCAGAAAUUAUCACUCAUUUUUUUAGGUUAUUUUACAUUUACUUCUUUAUUUCUACACCGAUUCACUUCAAAUUGAUACUGGACCUCACCUAUGACAAUACGGUCAAUCUCAACCAUGCAUGGCCCCAUUCCCAACCCUGGGGCGCCCCGCCCACAUAGGCCACACCCACCAAAAAUUUCCAUUUACUAUAAUUUUUUCAUUUCUACACGGAUUCACUUCAAAUUGAUACUGAACUUCUGUUAUGACAUUAGGGUCAAUCUCAACUAUGCAUGGCCCCAAUCCCAACCCUGGGGCGCCCGCCCACAUAGGCCACGCCCACCAAAAAAUUCCAUUUACUAUAAUUUUUUCAUUUCUUCACGGAUUCACUUCAAAUUGAUACUGAACUUCUCUUAUGACAUUAGGGUCAAUCUCAAAUAUGCAUGGCCCCAUAACCAACCCUGGGGCCCCGCCCACAUAGACCACACCCACCCAAAAUUGCCUUUACUAUAAUUUCUUCAUUUCUACACCGAUUCACUUCACAUUGAUAUUGAACUUCUCUUAUGACAAUACAGUCAAUCUCAACUAUGCAUGGCCCCAUUACCAACCCUGGGGCGCCCCGCCCACAUAGACCACACCCACCCAAAAUUGCCUUUUACUAUAAUUUCUUCAUUUCUACACCGAUUCACUUCAAAUUGAUACUGAACCUCUCUAAUGACAAUACGGUCAAUCUCAACUAUGCAUGGCCCCAUUACCAACCCUGGGGCGCCCUGCCCACAUAUGUCGCACCCACCCAAAAUUGCCUUUUACUAUAACUUCUUCAUUUCUACACCAAUUCACUUCUAAUUGAUGAUGAACUUCUCUUAUGACAAUACGGUCAAUCUCAGCUAUGCAUGGCCACAUUACCAACCCUGGGGCACACCUAGGUCAAACAUUCGGCGUGGGGAUACGCGUCGGCCUCUGCCGCGCCAUUUCUAGUUGUUAUUGCCACUUAUUUACUUUAUCAAAACAUUACUGCUCUUAACUAAGGGUGUCACGUUUAAACGUUUGAACAGCCGCGUUUCGUGUUUUGCUCAAAAACCUUUACAAAAACAGUAAACCUCUAAAAGCCAGUCAAUAUCAAUAAAAUUCGUUUUAGUUCAUUACCAGUGCCCCAGAUAAGCUGCGUAUCUGCGUCUUUCACCCUAUUAAAAUGUUUAAAAAUGCAAAGAAAUACAAUAUCAUGCGUAUUGAAAACGCACCCGAUUUGCCUUUUACGCACAUUCGUCUUAUUUGAUGCGUACGAUACAAUAGCUUUGAUCGAAAAAACUUUGCUCAUUUUCGGUAUUUUUUGUGAUUAUUUUUGUUACGCGGCGACGCUUUUAUUCAGCAAGCGCCUGGAUGACGGGGCAAUAAAACAGUCAAAGCUAUUCAAACGCUCUGCGGACUAGAUUCCAUAGUUAAAUAAAGCGGCUGACAAAAUUAUUUACGACGACAUAACUGUUACAAGCGUUUUCAAUCUGACUUAAUCCGUCGUUCAUUGUGCAAAUAUUUGUUAAGUGUCUGUACUUUCAGUUUCUAAUACGAUGCGUAAUAAAAAUGUCUAAGAGAAAGACGUCCGCAAUUGUUGCGCCAAAAUAUGUGUCGAUCGCUAACUUUAUCGAACCAAGAAAGCAAGAGUCAAUAAGUGCCGAAUCAUUCGUGUUAUCGAUUUUUUUUAAGUUUAAAGUUUAUAUUAUUGACAGUUUCAAGGAUUAAAGAUGUUAUGAAACAUCAGUUUAUUAAAGAUAAUUAUAUUAGUUUACAGUUUUAUUGAAUCAAUACAAUUGUGUGCAGCUUCAACAGAAGUAAAGCAGCAAUGGUUUUACUGUAUGCAUCUUAUAACUCAUUUCACCCUAUUCCAAGAAUGAAAUCACCCUAUUUUUCAAAAUCAGUGGGUGAAAACCCUAUUACCGAAAUAAUUAUCUGGGGCACUGCAUUACGUUGUGACGUUUCAAAGCUUUUUAACAGCUGCCAGGGCCCUCGUUUGGCAUUUUUUACUGCCGAAUAUCGGCGGCUUCCCCCAUGAAAAAAGUAUACUUUUUUCCCCUAUUUCGGCUAUAAAUCCCCCCUCCAUUUUUAAAAAAAAUCUUAUACCUAUGUUGCCUGCUGGUAUGGUGCUACUAUAUAAAUCAUAUUAGAAAAUCGCAAUUUUAAGUGCUCAAUUGUUGAUGCAAAGAUCUUCUAAAACUCCAUGUUCGCCCAAAACGACGCAAAAUUCCGCCCUCUAAGGGCCCCGGCCCCAAUCCCCCAAAGUGUAGAGAGGGCCCUCGCUGCUGAAAAAGACUCGUAUUAAAAACUAUAUGUAUCCAGUGCGCCAGAUGGCCCUUAUUCACAAUACCGUAAGCAUUACAAUACACCAUGUACAGACUAGACCUCUUGAAUAUUUAACGAGCAUCAUCAUGAAAUUCCCGGCUUUUGUUGCAUGAGAAUGCCCCGAAUCCUCUUGAACAUUCAACGCGCGUUUAAAACUGGUUUACUCCUGUUUAAGGAAUGUUGGUUAAUAAUUCACAUUCGUGUCAAAAUAUUACGGCAUGUACAAAUGUAAGUAGACAAAUUGUAACCCAUUGGUUAGACAACGAUGAGAACAGUUGGUUUUAGUAUUACAUCAUGUGCGAAUGGGAUAUGCACUAAAUAUAAUUUCCGGAAAUAAGUACUACUUUCAGUUUGAAGAAGUGAUGGCACUGAUGCGUGAUGAUUUUAAAACGGACAUAGGGAUACUGUUUAAACUGUAACGUUUCGUUUAUUUCAUUUCGUUUUAACGUUUAGAAAAAUCUGUAAACGUGACACCCUUACUCUUAACUAGAACAUCAGUUAUAGACAUAAACAAACCUUUUCAUUAAGUAGGUACAUGUAAUAGCUUGUUAUGUAGCAAACGUAUGGUAAUAGUAGAAACAAUCAAUUUAUUUAUAUGUUCUUGUUUGUUAUUGAAUCAUGCUCAAAUAUUGUCAACAACAAAAGGGUCCAGUGGCUGAAUGGCAAACCGUUUAUCAGCCUUGGAUUAAAGGUGUAUUUUUGUCAUCAUGGCAAAAAUUACAGACCAAACAAUAAUGCAAGAACUCCAAAGGAACAUGGAUAUAGCAAAGGUGGGCGUGUCCGUGCUCAGCAAACGAAGAAAUUGGGAUGCCCAGCAAAGGUGCUAAUUAAAGAAGGAGUUAUGCUUCCUGCCAGUCAUCCCAUACAGGAUAACACUAAGGCAGAACUGGAAGCAUCCCUGUUUGACCUUGCUGCAACAGGAGAGUAUACAUGCUGCUACUACAUGUGUCUUCCAGACCUGGAAAAGCACAAGUAUCACGAAACAGGCAUUUCUUCAGGCCUGAGUCAAAAUAUUGACCAGGGACUUGUUCAUAAGAUAAAUGAAUUGGUCGACGAAGGGGUGUCAGACACAGACGAAAUGGAACGGCGCCUCCGAAGUCAUGUUCUGGAAACAGAAAAUGUUACACCAGCACCAACAAGCAAGAGUUUUUUUCCGAAUCGUAACACGAUUCGGAACCACAUGCGAAACGCAGAGAAAACAAAACAGACAAGCAUAGAUGAUGAAACAAAUCUUGAAGGCUUUCUGAAUAGAUGGAAACAAGACAAUACUAGAGAUAUUGUUUUCCUGCGGAAAAAAGGAGAAACGGAGGAUUCAUUCACUUUUCAACAUUCUGGCCUGCAGAAAGCUAGUCAUUGACUUGCAGAAGAAAGAUAGUUUAGUAAAUAAAUACAUUGAAGAUGUACUCAUCAAGGAGGCAUUAGUGGCUUUGAUGGAGCAGUGUAACCACGCGCUGGUGAUGACCAUUUCCACAAGCCUUAUGGACUCAUUCAGCAUGGCCAUGAAUAGUCGAACCAGCAUUAAGGAGAAGAUGCCUGUGUGAAGGUGUUACCUCUUCAUGGCAAUACAAUACAAUACAAAUCUGAAAUUGUGUUUGUUUCUCACGCAGUCCUGCAUAUGUAUUUUCUAUUACUGUUUGUUAAUGGUGUUUUGUAUGGUUAUUGGCCUUUUCUUGUGUUAAUUUCAAAUUAAUUUAAGAACUGUGCAUGAUUAUUUUUAGAAAAUUGUGGUAAAGUUAGUUAGUUGUUGCAGUAAGGGUCUGAAAUUUGUUAGUGACAUUUAUAGGAGUGUGUUCACAGAUCGAUGAUUUUUUAUGCCACAUAUAUCAAACAUAAAAGGAUACUGUAUGGACGUGAGUUAAAUACAUGUAUAAAUACAUGUAUAAAUUAACUGUUAACAGAGCUACAGAUAAGCUGUAUAAGUGAGUAAAUUUGCAAUUAAAAUAGGUGGGUACGCAGUGUUUAAAAAAUAUGUGCGAACUAAAACGAAAAUAAAGUUGCUAAUACCGAAUUGGAAUUUAAGUAUCAAGAAAUACAUAUACAUGUAAGCAAAUAUUGUAAGUUCAAUACUUUUUUUCAUGAGUAUUUUUCUAUGAAGUGUUGUGCAAUAUUUAUACAAACUUUCGUUUCUGCUGAAUUGCAGAGGUAGCUUUAUUGUAUUUUGAUGAUAAAAGGUCCUUACACAUGUUUCAUAUGCCAACCACUUUGAACUUGUAUAGCCAAUAUCUGUGACAAAGCCCACUCCUCGAGCAUUACUUGUAUGUGACAGCCUUUUGUAUUAUGUAUUGUUUUUGUAUAAUUCAAGCUCUAUAAAUAAAUUAUGCAUAUAUUUUGCUAUAGUGAAUCACUGUUGUGUCUUGAGUAUGUAUUUAUGAGUAUGUCUUUUAAACUUUAAAAACGUAUUUGCUCACUUAUUGCAAUGUUGUAAAACAUAAUGAUCGGAUAAUUUGUAACCGAAUAAUAAUAAUACAUUAAGCAAUUUGUUUAAGUUAAAUUAAGUAAGAUCAUUUUGAACAAUUUCAUAUUAAAUUUUUGCAACAUUCCACUACAUGUAUCAAUUUGUUUAAGUUAAAUUAAGUAAGAUCAUUUUGAACAAUUUCAUAUUAAAUUUUUGCAACAUUCCACUACAUGUAUCAGUAUGUGAAACAUCACUACGGUACAUAAUAUGACCGAAAAUGCAUUACGUCAUUACCUUAAGGACGACCGAAACAUAACUUUUUUACUUUGUUCUCAAAGGCGUAAUUAAAGCUUACUAAUAACUUCCAUCGUAAAACGGCUUCAUACAUUUGCCCACUCCUCGAGCAUUACAUGUAUGUGACAGCCUUUUGUAUUAUGUAUUGUUUUUGUAUAAUUCAAGCUCUAUAAAUAAAUUAUGCAUAUAUUUUUUUGCUAUAGUGAAUCAAUGUUGCGUCUUGAGUAUGUAUUUAUGAGUAUGUCUUUUAAACUUUAAAACGUAUUUGCUCACUUAUUGCAAUGUUGUAAAGCAUCAUGAUCGGAUGAUUUGUAACAGAAUAAAUAAUAAUACAUUUA
This is a long non-coding RNA of Dreissena polymorpha, 6666 nucleotides long. RefSeq lists it as uncharacterized. Lineage: Eukaryota; Metazoa; Mollusca; Bivalvia; Myida; Dreissenidae. The record is from RefSeq and is a predicted model, not a curated record. The transcript is spliced from 9 exons.